RNAcentral lists this transfer RNA (75 nucleotides) under Tissierellia bacterium. Its description in RNAcentral is "tRNA-Glu". It matches the Rfam family "tRNA". Rfam says of the family: Transfer RNA (tRNA) molecules are approximately 80 nucleotides in length. Their secondary structure includes four short double-helical elements and three loops (D, anti-codon, and T loops). Lineage: Bacteria; Bacillati; Bacillota; Tissierellia. The record is from RNAcentral.
GGCCCCAUGGUCAAGCGGUUAAGACGUCGCCCUCUCACGGCGAAAACAGGAGUUCGAGUCUCCUUGGGGCUGCCA